RNAcentral lists this ribosomal RNA (279 nucleotides) under uncultured bacterium. RNAcentral's name for it is "partial 16S ribosomal RNA". It matches the Rfam family "Bacterial small subunit ribosomal RNA", at positions 506 to 784 of the family's 1533-position model. The record is from RNAcentral.
UGCCAGCAGCCGCGGUAAUACGAAGGGGGCUAGCGUUGUUCGGAAUCACUGGGCGUAAAGCGCGCGUAGGCUGACUAGCAAGUCAGGGGUGAAAUCCCGGAGCUCAACUCCGGAACUGCCUCUGAAACUGCUAGUCUUGAGACUCAGAGGGGAUAGGGGAAUUCCUAGUGUAGAGGUGAAAUUCGUAGAUACUAGGAGGAACACCAGUGGCGAAGGCGCCUAUCUGGAUGAGUACUGACGCUGAGGUGCGAAAGCGUGGGGAGCAAACAGGAUUAGAUA